Molecule: ribosomal RNA, 457 nt
Filed under: uncultured bacterium
Lineage: Bacteria
Description: bacterial SSU rRNA
Rfam family: Bacterial small subunit ribosomal RNA
Source: RNAcentral
AUACGGGAGGCAGCAGUAAGGAAUAUUGGACAAUGGGCGCAAGCCUGAUCCAGCCAUGCCGCGUGCAGGAUUAAGGCCCUAUGGGUUGUAAACUGCUUUUAGUAGGGAAAAAACCCUCGUUCGUGAACGAGGCUGAUGGUACCUACAGAAUAAGGAUCGGCUAACUCCGUGCCAGCAGCCGCGGUAAUACGGAGGAUCCAAGCGUUAUCCGGAUUUAUUGGGUUUAAAGGGUGCGUAGGCGGAUUAAUAAGUCAGUGGUGAAAGCCUGCAGCUUAACUGUAGAACUGCCAUUGAUACUGUUAGUCUUGAAUGUAGUUGAGGUGGGCGGAAUAUGACAUGUAGCGGUGAAAUGCUUAGAUAUGUCAUAGAACACCGAUUGCGAAGGCAGCUCACUAAGCUAUAAUUGACGCUGAGGCACGAAAGCGUGGGGAGCAAACAGGAUUAGAUACCCCUGUAC